CCUACGGGUGGCAGCAGUCGAGAAUCAUUCACAAUGGGGGAAACCCUGAUGGUGCGACGCCGCGUGGGGGAAUGAAGGUCUUCGGAUUGUGAACCCCUGUCAUGUGGGAGCAAAUUAAAAAGAUAGUACCACAAGAGGAAGAGACGGCUAACUCUGUGCCAGCAGCCGCGGUAAUACAGAGGUCUCAAGCGUUGUUCGGAAUCACUGGGCGUAAAGCGUGCGUAGGCUGUUUCGUAAGUCGUGUGUGAAAGGCGCGGGCUCAACCCGCGGACGGCACAUGAUACUGCGAGACUAGAGUAGUGGAGGGGGAACCGGAAUUCGCGGUGUAGCAGUGAAAUGCGUAGAUAUCGAGAGGAACACUCGUGGCGAAGGCGGGUUCCUGGACAUUAACUGACGCUGAGGCACGAAGGCCAGGGGAGCGAAAGGGAUUAGAUACCCGGGUAGUC
This 446-nucleotide ribosomal RNA is filed under the name uncultured bacterium. RNAcentral describes it as "partial 16S ribosomal RNA". It matches the Rfam family "Bacterial small subunit ribosomal RNA", at positions 338 to 795 of the family's 1533-position model. The record is from RNAcentral.